Molecule: ribosomal RNA, 432 nt
Filed under: uncultured bacterium
Lineage: Bacteria
Description: partial 16S ribosomal RNA
Rfam family: Bacterial small subunit ribosomal RNA
Source: RNAcentral
AACGAACGCUGGCGGCAUGCCUAAUACAUGCAAGUCGAACGAGAUCUUCGGAUCUAGUGGCGCACGGGUGCGUAACGCGUGGGAAUCUGCCCUUGGGUUCGGAAUAACUUCUGGAAACGGAAGCUAAUACCGGAUGAUGACGUAAGUCCAAAGAUUUAUCGCACAAGGAUGAGCCCGCGUAGGAUUAGCUAGUUGGUGGGGUAAAGGCCCACCAAGGCGACGAUCCUUAGCUGGUCUGAGAGGAUGAUCAGCCACACUGGGACUGAGACACGGCCCAGACUCCUACGGGAGGCAGCAGUAGGGAAUAUUGGACCAUGGGCGAAAGCCUGAUCCAGCAAUGCCGCGUGAGUGAUGAAGGCCUUAGGGUUGUAAAGCUCUUUUACCCGGGAUGAUAAUGACAGUACCGGGAGAAUAAGCUCCGGCUAACUCCGU